Molecule: transfer RNA, 73 nt
Filed under: Clostridia bacterium
Lineage: Bacteria; Bacillati; Bacillota; Clostridia
Description: tRNA-Arg
Rfam family: tRNA
About the family: Transfer RNA (tRNA) molecules are approximately 80 nucleotides in length. Their secondary structure includes four short double-helical elements and three loops (D, anti-codon, and T loops).
Source: RNAcentral
GCCGUGGUAGCACAGGUGGUGAGUGCGGCUCCCUUCUAAGGAGCAUACGCGGGUUCGAUUCCCGUCCAUGGUU